AUGAACGCUGGCGGCGUGCUUAACACCUACAAGUCGAACGGAAAGGCCCAAGCUUGCUUGGGUACUCGAGUGGCGAACGGGUGAGUAACACGUGGGUGAUCUGCCCUGCACUUCGGGAUAAGCCUGGGAAACUGGGUCUAAUACCGGAUAGGACGAUGGUUUGGAUGCCAUUGUGGAAAGUUUUUUCGGUGUGGGAUGAGCUCGCGGCCUAUCAGCUUGUUGGUGGGGUAAUGGCCUACCAAGGCGUCGACGGGUAGCCGGCCUGAGAGGGUGUACGGCCACAUUGGGACUGAGAUACGGCCCAGACUCCUACGGGAGGCAGCAGUGGGGAAUAUUGCACAAUGGGCGCAAGCCUGAUGCAGCGACGCCGCGUGGGGGAUGACGGCCUUCGGGUUGUAAACUCCUUUCGCUAGGGACGAAGCGUUUUUGUGACGGUACCUGGAGAAGAAGCACCGGCUAACUACGUG
Molecule: ribosomal RNA, 467 nt
Filed under: uncultured bacterium
Lineage: Bacteria
Description: partial 16S ribosomal RNA
Rfam family: Bacterial small subunit ribosomal RNA
Source: RNAcentral